RNAcentral lists this ribosomal RNA (422 nucleotides) under uncultured bacterium. Its description in RNAcentral is "bacterial SSU rRNA". It matches the Rfam family "Bacterial small subunit ribosomal RNA", at positions 355 to 774 of the family's 1533-position model. The record is from RNAcentral.
UGAGGAAUAUUGGGCAAUGCCCGCAAGGGUUACCCAGCAACGCCGCGUGGAGGAUGAAUGUCGUAAGAUUGUAAACUCCUGUUAGAGGGGAAGAAUAGUACCGGUUGGACCGGUAUAUGACUGUACCCUCAGAGAAAGCCCCGGCUAACUACGUGCCAGCAGCCGCGGUAAUACGUAGGGGGCAAGCGUUGUCCGGAUUUACUGGGUGUAAAGGGCGCGCAGGCGGGAUAAAAAGUCAGUGGUGAAAUCCUACAGCUUAACUGUAGAACUGCCUUUGAUACUUUUAUUCUUGAGUUCGGGAGAGAGAGACGGAAUUCCAGGUGUAGUGGUGAAAUACGUAGAUAUCUGGAAGAACACCAGUUGCGAAGGCGGUCUCUUGGUCCGACACUGACGCUGAGGCGCGAAAGCGUGGGGAGCAAACA